This 312-nucleotide ribosomal RNA is filed under the name Triticum aestivum (bread wheat). Its description in RNAcentral is "partial small subunit ribosomal RNA". Lineage: Eukaryota; Viridiplantae; Streptophyta; Magnoliopsida; Poales; Poaceae. The record is from RNAcentral.
AUGCUGUGUGCUGCGCCCAGUCAAUCCCACCGCACUUCCAUACUUGCACUACUAUUGCAGAUGCCCAGCCGGCUAACUGCCAUGGAUGAGGCGCCACACAUGAUUGAGGAUGACAUGGAGUACCGGUGCACCGCCGUCCGCGCUCGCCCAUUAUCGCCGGAGCCCACGCACGAUAUGCUCGCCUGUGGCCACCGUUUCCAUCCGAAUGAGAGUUUUCCACAUCAUUACCACGGCUGGCAGGUGCUGCUUUGUGGAGUUUUUACUCAACAUAAUUUUGAUCGUCCAUGCUAUUCGCGUAUAUUUGAAAAUUAA